RNAcentral lists this ribosomal RNA (465 nucleotides) under uncultured bacterium. RNAcentral describes it as "partial 16S ribosomal RNA". It matches the Rfam family "Bacterial small subunit ribosomal RNA", at positions 28 to 507 of the family's 1533-position model. The record is from RNAcentral.
GACGAACGCUGGCGGCGUGCUUAACACAUGCAAGUCGAACGGAAAGGCCCUGCUUGCGGGGUACUCGAGUGGCGAACGGGUGAGUAACACGUGGGUGAUCUGCCCUGCACUUCGGGAUAAGCUUGGGAAACUGGGUCUAAUACCGGAUAGGAGCCAUCUUUAGUGUGGUGGUUGGAAAGUUUUUUCGGUGUAGGAUGAGCUCGCGGCCUAUCAGCUUGUUGGUGGGGUAAUGGCCUACCAAGGCGGCGACGGGUAGCCGGCCUGAGAGGGUGUACGGCCACAUGGGGACUAGGUUACGGCCAAGACUCCUACGGGAGGCAGCGGUGGGGAGUAUUGCACAAUGGCGCAAGCCUGAUGCAGCGACGCCGCGUGGGGGAUGAAGGCCUUCGGGUUGUAAACUCCUUUCGCUAGGGACGAAGCUUUUUUGUGACGGUACCUAGAUAAGAAGCACCGGCUAACUACGUG